RNAcentral lists this long non-coding RNA (2643 nucleotides) under Homo sapiens (human). RNAcentral's name for it is "HSALNT0163732". Lineage: Eukaryota; Metazoa; Chordata; Mammalia; Primates; Hominidae. The record is from RNAcentral.
CCUGCUUCCCCUUCUGCCAUGAUUGUAAGUUUCCUGAAGCUUCCCCAGACAUGUGGAACUGCCCAUCCGUGGCUGCCCAUGGACCAAUCAGCAUGCGCUUCCUCUCUUCUGAGCUCAUGAAAACCCUGGACUCAGCCAGACUUGCACACUCGUCAGGACAACAUCCCUGCAGAAAGGAGCUACUUGCCAUGUUUCUCCUCUCCUCUGUGAGCUGGAACCCCAUCAGGACAACUUGCCUAUGGAAAGGAGCUACCCACUUUGGGUCUCCUGAAAGCUGUUUUGUCACUCAGUGAAGCUCCUCUGCCUUCCUCACCCUCAAAUUGUCCAUGUAUCUCGUUCUUCCUAGAUGCAGGAAAAGAACUGGGACCUGCUGAAUGGUGAGAAUGAAAGAGCUGUAACACAAACAGGGCUGAAAUAUGCCCCCUGCUCACCACAUUGUGAGUGAUGAGGAGAAAAGAGCUGCAGCCCUUCUGGGAAUGCAGACAUCAGGUCUCCCUGAACUAGGGCUGUGGCACUCUCUUUGGGGCUCUGCUUUUGGGCACCAUCGCAUUCCCCUUGUCUAGAUGCUGGUGCCCACAGCCAAAGCUGCUUUUAAUAUGCCUGGUCUAGCUUCAGUCUUCCAUGGAGCUGGUGCCUGUGCCAGUGCCUGGAACCGCCCACCCCUCUGCCACAGCUGGAGCACCUGGCUGUGUGCAGUGGCUGGACCCUGCACUCACUUGCUCACACAUCCCUCACUGCUCCAUGCCUGGCUUGCCCAUGGCAGUUAGGGGAUGCGGCUGGUAGCACAAGCCGAGCAGGGGCUGCUGGGCUGAGUGGGUGGAAUGAGCCCAGCGAGCACAAGCAAAACCUAAGCAGAGGCACCACCAGCCACAGAGGUUUCUGGCUGGCAAAUUGACACCCUAGGAAUCCCAUGACAGCCUGGGCUCCCUGGUUGCCCACUGCAUUCUGGGAGAGCUUAAGGAUCCACUGUCUUUAACAUCAAGUUUUCUAACCUAUAUCUGUUGAGACUUUUUAAGUUACAUCAUUUCAGAAACAUUAACCAUUUUUCCGUCAGAAUCAAAGCCUGAAUUCCAAAUCUUUUGGUACCAGUAGCAUAUUUUUACAGUAAUUUUCAUUUUUCAACCCUGGCCGUUCUGAUUUUGUAGUGUACCAGCCCCUACUCUGGCAUGAGAUGGAAAGGCUAGGGAAACUAGGGGUUCAAACAUUGCAUUUUCAGCUGUUUGAGAUAAUAUAAGCUUUGUGUUAUGAUUCUGCAGGAAAAUAAAUAAGUAGAUAAAUAAAUAGCACCAAAAAAUAACCAUUAAAUGUCUCUGAGGGGCAGACUAAUGAUAAGCCAUAAAUUAGGGCAUAAAUACAUUGAUCAGCUGGCUACUAGCAAACCACCAGAACUCUGCCGCUAUCUGGAAUGAUAACCUGUGGGAUACAGUCAACUUUCUGCCAGAGCUCCAUUUGAGCUUGAGCCUGUCAUACUCAGCUGAUGCCCAAGUGACCCCUUCUCUCAUCUUUCAUUCAUUUUUCAUGCUUACAUUUUCAUACUACCCUGCUUUGUUCCCUUGCCACCUCUUACUUCCCUCCAGAGGUUUACAGCCAUAAGUCAAUGGCAAAAAAAAAAAAAAAAAAAAAAAAAAAUGCCUUACAAUACAGUGCCUCAGUGUAAGAUUUAGAAAAAGCUAGAAAGAUGACAAGUUGAAAAGAUGUUCUCACCCUUGUAAUGGGCUGACUCCUGAAUCUGUGUUACCUUCUUGUACAAUUCACUGACCUAUUUUUCAUUUGUUUCUUAACUUGGUUUUAACUUUGGCCUAUUAUUCUAAAGUUGGCUUCCAGAAUCCAAUCUCUAUUCUAGUUAUUCAUUCUUUACUCAAAUAUAGUUUUAAGGCCCAGUCUUUGCCUAGCACACAAUUGAAAUGUUGACCAUAAUACCCCCUUGAUAUCUUUCUCAUGCUUUAUUCUCUGUGAAGAAUAGCAGCGUGCACCUUUGUUUAUUCCUCAUGAAUAAAAAUAUCAAUAAGAAUAUAUGAGUGAGAGCAUAGUAUGUAUUUUAUAACACAUUGAUUUGUCCUGUGACCCUAGGCAAUAUAUAUUUUAUUAAAAUUAUACAACAAUGAAUUCAUCCUGUUCUUCAAUAAUUUAUCUGAGUAAAUUCUUUACAAUGGGAUUUUUUAACACGGAAUGUCACAGAUAAAGCCUGGAUCGUCUCAUCAGAAAUUUUUUACAAAUUAUUAAAUGAACUGGCUAUUACUUGGACUCACGGUUUCUAACCUUCAGUCUCACUUGGACUUCUAAGGAUGCAACUAACUCCUUCAAACUAGUGAGAUACAGAAAAUGUAGCUGCAAUACUAUAGUACAACAUUAACACUCCCAUGCACAAAACUGAAAGGGAUCAUAUAAUACUGGUGUGUCUACGCUGAGAUGACAUAUUGCACGCUAACAAACAUUGCAAAAUCCAGCACAUCAAGAAAAUGAAAAAUUGUUGAAUAGCAGGUGAUUGGAAUGUUAGAUGCCAAUGAGAUCCAGGUAUUUUGCUAACUGUUCUAAACACAUUUCUUCUGUGAAGAGGAAGCAAUACAAUGGUGAUUGCUUCUCUUCUGUGCCUGCCUUGUAUCACACUUUCAAAAGAAAACAGUCUUUUUAACCAUAAUUUAC